CCAACUUAAAAAUUAUUAUGCAUUUUAAGACUGCUGUUAUUCUCUGUGCCGUGUAUUUCAUUGUAUCAGUAUGGAGCACGGGACUAAAUAUGGACCAAAUACAAAAAUGUAUUGAUAUGUAUGAUUAUCCCAAUCCUGACACUCGGAGAAUCCCAAAAGUUAUGAAAGACGAUUUUGGAGUUAAAACACCAGAAAGAUAUUAUAAACGCCACCCAAGUUCCAAUGCUGACGACUUUUGAAGUAGAGUAUUACCUCAAUAAGUUCAUUAAACACCUUGAACGUUAUGGGCAAUUUAGAUACCUUAUAAAUG
This is a long non-coding RNA of Adelges cooleyi (spruce gall adelgid), 310 nucleotides long. RefSeq lists it as uncharacterized. The transcript is spliced from 3 exons. Lineage: Eukaryota; Metazoa; Arthropoda; Insecta; Hemiptera; Adelgidae. The record is from RefSeq and is a predicted model, not a curated record.